AUUUCCUUAGUAUAAAAGUAUAUUUGACUUCCAAUCAAAAGGUCUAGUCUCUAGAGGAAAUA
RNAcentral lists this transfer RNA (62 nucleotides) under Ocypode cordimanus. RNAcentral's name for it is "tRNA-Gly". Lineage: Eukaryota; Metazoa; Arthropoda; Malacostraca; Decapoda; Ocypodidae. The record is from RNAcentral.